This is a non-coding RNA of Bifiguratus adelaidae, 72 nucleotides long. Lineage: Eukaryota; Fungi; Mucoromycota; Endogonomycetes; Endogonales. The record is from the annotation of a GenBank genome assembly.
UCUCGAAUAGUAUAACGGUGAGUAUCCCCGCCUGUCACGCGGGAGAUCUGGGUUCGAUUCCCAGUUCGAGAG